RNAcentral lists this RNase P RNA (337 nucleotides) under Candida albicans SC5314. Its description in RNAcentral is "Candida albicans sRNA RPR1". It matches the Rfam family "Nuclear RNase P". From Rfam's summary of the family: Ribonuclease P (RNase P) is a ubiquitous endoribonuclease, found in archaea, bacteria and eukarya as well as chloroplasts and mitochondria. Its best characterised activity is the generation of mature 5'-ends of tRNAs by cleaving the 5'-leader elements of precursor-tRNAs. Cellular RNase Ps are ribonucleoproteins. The record is from RNAcentral. Lineage: Eukaryota; Fungi; Ascomycota; Pichiomycetes; Serinales; Debaryomycetaceae.
UGAACUCGUCUGAUGUCGUUUCGCAUUGACCCGUCAACAUAAGGAGUUUUCUUUAGAAACUCAUUCACAACCAAAUGCGGGUGGGAAAUUCGGUGGUACGCUCCAUCCUUUACAGAUUUGCUCCUGAGAGCUUCUUCCUUAGCGUGAAAGCGCAUGGGCGGCGUUACAAGAAAUAUACACGGAGUUUUAAGGCUGUAGAAGGUCUGCUUCGUAUGGGAAUGGCGCCGUGGAUGGUUGGCUGUGAGUAAUUCUUUACUACAAGCUGUUUAGUGCAAUAUGCGAACUUGAAGUCACCUUCAAGCACCCGAUACCGAUCACCGACUUGAGACAGGUUUUA